AGCGAACGCUGGCGGCGUGCUUAACACAUGCAAGUCGAGUGCGUAGCCCUUUGUAGCAAUACAGAGGGUGGGCGCACGGCGCACGGGUGAGUAACACGUGGGUAACCUGCCCUUCGGUGGGGAAUAACCCCGCGAAAGCGGGGCGUAAUUCCGCAUAACAUUCCGGGGACGACAUGUUCUCGGACUCAAAGGAGUGAUUCGCCGGAGGAGGGG
Molecule: ribosomal RNA, 213 nt
Filed under: uncultured bacterium
Lineage: Bacteria
Description: partial 16S ribosomal RNA
Rfam family: Bacterial small subunit ribosomal RNA
Source: RNAcentral